ACAUGCAGUCGAGCGGACAGAAGGGAGCUUGCUCCCGGAUGUUAGCGGCGGACGGGUGAGUAACACGUGGGUAACCUGCCUGUAAGACUGGGAUAACUCCGGGAAACCGGAGCUAAUACCGGAUAGUUCCUUGAACCGCAUGGUUCAAGGAUGAAAGACGGUUUCGGCUGUCACUUACAGAUGGACCCGCGGCGCAUUAGCUAGUUGGUGGGGUAAUGGCUCACCAAGGCGACGAUGCGUAGCCGACCUGAGAGGGUGAUCGGCCACACUGGGACUGAGACACGGCCCAGACUCCUACGGGAGGCAGCAGUAGGGAAUCUUCCGCAAUGGACGAAAGUCUGACGGAGCAACGCCGCGUGAGUGAUGAAGGUUUUCGGAUCGUAAAGCUCUGUUGUUAGGGAAGAACAAGUGCGAGAGUAACUGCUCGCACCUUGACGGUACCUAACCAGAAAGCCACGGCUAACUACGUGCCAGCAGCCGCGGUAAUACGUAGGUGGCAAGCGUUGUCCGGAAUUAUUGGGCGUAAAGGGCUCGCAGGCGGUUUCUUAAGUCUGAUGUGAAAGCCCCCGGCUCAACCGGGGAGGGUCAUUGGAAACUGGGAAACUUGAGUGCAGAAGAGGAGAGUGGAAUUCCACGUGUAGCGGUGAAAUGCGUAGAGAUGUGGAGGAACACCAGUGGCGAAGGCGACUCUCUGGUCUGUAACUGACGCUGAGGAGCGAAAGCGUGGGGAGCGAACAGGAUUAGAUACCCUGGUAGUCCACGCCGUAAACGAUGAGUGCUAAGUGUUAGGGGGUUUCCGCCCCUUAGUGCUGCAGCUAACGCAUUAAGCACUCCGCCUGGGGAGUACGGUCGCAAGACUGAAACUCAAAGGAAUUGACGGGGGCCCGCACAAGCGGUGGAGCAUGUGGUUUAAUUCGAAGCAACGCGAAGAACCUUACCAGGUCUUGACAUCCUCUGACAACCCUAGAGAUAGGGCUUUCCCUUCGGGGACAGAGUGACAGGUGGUGCAUGGUUGUCGUCAGCUCCUGUCCUGAGAAGUUGGGGUUAAGUCCCGCAACGAGCGCAACCCUUGAUCUUAGUUGCCAGCAUUCAGUUGGGCACCCUAAGGGGACUGCCGGUGACAAACC
RNAcentral lists this ribosomal RNA (1127 nucleotides) under Bacillus safensis. RNAcentral's name for it is "bacterial SSU rRNA". It matches the Rfam family "Bacterial small subunit ribosomal RNA", at positions 53 to 1164 of the family's 1533-position model. The record is from RNAcentral. Lineage: Bacteria; Bacillati; Bacillota; Bacilli; Caryophanales; Bacillaceae.